Non-coding RNA from Pelodiscus sinensis (Chinese soft-shelled turtle), 5872 nucleotides. NCBI's taxonomy places the organism in Eukaryota, Metazoa, Chordata, Testudines, Trionychidae. The record is from RefSeq and is a predicted model, not a curated record.
GUUCGUAUCAUUGAACUGGGAAAAACAUUCCCAACCUUAGUCAAAUUAAAUUCAUUCAGCCAAAACCUAUGGCGGCAAAUAAAAUCAUCCCGAUGAUGUAAGGGUAACAGCGUUUAUGUCUUAAUUCAUAGGGAGGGGAAAAUAUAAUUUAUUGACAAGCUGUCUGCGCUUUAAGCCAGAAGAGGCAAAUGCUAGACAGACAAGCUCGGACUCGAAACCACUGUUCUCAAUAACAAUAAAACAUUUUUAUCACAAGAAGUUUUAAUGAAACAAGCGCGAGCUACCUCAAAGAGGGAAUGUUAACACUAUAGAUUUGAAAAAUAAGAUUGGAAUUAAAUGGUUCUAUCAAUUGCAGUUUUUACUCUGGGUUUCAUACACAUUUCAGCUCCACUAAGUGUCGCUGUUGUCCACAGCAGCACCGACAAUUCUACCUCACGACAAAAUACGUUUCAAUUAGACUUUAGCAUCAAAUGCAUCCCUAGCUCACACGCUUAAAAUACAAACAUUAUCGUCAAAUUAUCUAGAUGUUUACUUAUAUUGGCAAUAAACACAUUAAACAAACCGCAAUAUUUCCUUACGUUUUUUCUUUUUAUCAGGGCUUGCUUGGUGUUUUCAUUUUGCAAUGGCUUCAGAUUCUCAUAUGUGACCGUUGUAAAAUAUAAAAAUGAUUUUUGUGUCAAAUUAUAGCAGUGAUAAUGUCUCCUAUAUUUGACUCGUUUUUGUAUAUAUAAAUAUUUGCCAUAAUUUCUCACACCUUGUGUCUAGAAAUUUAUAAUGGGGAAUUAUGCACGAUACAAGCACAAAGAUGUAGUGUGCAAUAUUGUUCACGUUUUAGUUCUCUAGCUAUAGAGUAAUGUAAUAGAUUUGUAGCGUUAACUAGAUAAAUUAGUCAAAUAAAUUAAAAAGACAUUUUUUUCUUUUUCAGUACCGUUAGCACAGUCCCAAGAUGUGUCAAAUUCUCAGCCCUAGGAUUAAAGAAAAUAACUUUUUUUUCUAUCAACCUUGGCUGGUCUCUUUUAUUUUCUUUUUUUAAAUAAUGUGGUAUUUUGUUUUGAUUUUCCGGGAAAUUGAUAUUUACAUAAUUUCUUUUUAUUUUCUAUUUUUUUGCAUGGGGGUCAGUUUAUUUCCCCACUCCCAUUUUGUUCGUUAAGGGAAAUUAUUAUGCGUUGAAGAAAAAGCGACAGAUUUUUUUCAUUGCGAAAUCCCUCUGAACAUUGAAAAACGUGAGUCAUUCUAAUGGCUGAGGGUUGUUUAUUUUUACUUAAAAUACAACACAUUCUUCAUACAAUAUCAAUAUUCGCGAUUUUGGAUUAAAAUAUUUUAUUUAUCUGACGUCAGAGCACAUUACAGUAUCAUUUAAUUUAUUUUAACAGCACAACUCAUUUCGAAAACCUAAUCUGGGCUUUUGGUUAAGCAGAAAUGAAAGCAUUCUCAUGCCAACCUGGCCAGAACAUCAAAAUUAGUGUUAUACCGCCAACGAAAAAAAUUACGGCUUAUCCCCUUAAUUAAAUGCCCCCUUUGAAAUUUAAACGCAUUUUUAAAGGAAAAGGGGAUUCAUUCGGUUUCUGCGUCUCAGUAGCUGCUGCCAGUUGAAGCCGGAAUCUUUUCCUCCCACUGCUGUCAACAGCUGUCCGAGCUCUUCCUUUUCUACACUCUUUUUGGAAGGAGUAAACAAGCAUGUUACCUUAACAUGAUCGCAAGAAGCAGGCCAGACAAUGGGGACACGGGGACUUUGCUUAACCUCGCAUGUCCUUCUUCAUUGAGAUAGACCGGACCCUCAUUGUUAGCAUCCUGCUUCAGAGGGAAAAGAACGAAAUCUAAAGGUCAGGGGUCAAGGACUUUCCCAUUCUUCUCUCGUUUAUUUCUCUGCCCUUUUCACUCAGGGGAUCAUAAAGAGGUCGCCUGGUGGCACAGAAGGACUCCCGUGGAUUCCUUUACUUGAAAUAUGGAAUCCCUGUGAGCAGAUACAUCCGAUCUAUAGCUGGGUCCGAAGCCAGUUACCUGUAUCUUUCCAGAGAUCAACAGCCACAUACAGCGUGCACCUGUAUAUAGAAUAGCGUGUAUUUAUGGUUACCAUUAAGCGAGUUCUCUGCGUACAGAUGUGCUCUAACAGCACCAUGUCUACUGCACGUCAAAGGGCAACGUAUCAUGCCAGCCAGCCUUUUGAUUUAAAAAACAGAAGGGAAAGAACUAAGACGGCCUCUAUCCUAUUCUCAAUGGGGGGGAGGAAUGGCAGGGGGCGGGGGAAGGUUUUCAUUUCAGUUUGUUUCCUUCUAAUAUAUUUUUAAGAUCACGCAGAUGUAUUCAGUGGGUUAAACCGCUAUAAAAACGAAUCUGUAUGGAAGACAAUUACCUGUGAGAAAGCAGGGGCAAGAGACAUUUUAAAAUUUACUUUUUCUAGGGUUGAUUUCACUGCAGAAUGUGCAUCUUUUUGUUGGUUUGUUAUUUUAAAAGGGAAAUCUACCCAGCGGGCGGCCAAAAUACCAUUGCUGAAUAUUGUACAUACCCCUUAACUAUAAGGACACACAGCAGAUUUAUUAAAUAAUGAUUAAAUAUUGUGCCAUGUUAAAUAAGCACAAUAGAGGCAUGUGCAAAAUGGGGUCAAAACUAGGCUAGGGGACAGUUACACACUGAAAGGCUACAUACAUUAACCAUGGACAUGUAUACAAUGUAACUAUAGAUGUGUAGGGCGAGAAUUUGCUAACAGAGUGUGUAUCAACUCGGACCGAAGCGAUAGACGUGCAGGUAUCCUCCUGUCACCAGUCUAGGAAGAUGGUCUUGCAGCCAGGACCCCAGCGGAGUCAAGGCUGCUCGCUCGGUGCCAGCUGCUACCGAGCAAAAGGAAACAAACGCCGGACAAGGAGAAGCUUCCCGGGGAAGGCGCCUGGACAAUAUUCGCUGCUUCUGCAGGGGAAAGGGCCCUGGGAAGCAAAGCUCCGGGAGGGGAGCGGCAGCGCGCAGGGAAGUGAGAACGCAGCGAGCUUGACUCCGGAUGCCAGGCCUGGAGCUCCCGGCCAGCUCCAGGGGCUGCGGUGCUGAGCUGUGCCCUGCGCGGGGCUCUUACCCGGGAACGGAGAAACCGAAAAAUGCAGCACUGGGAGCUGGCUCCUAGGGCUUCCCGCCUUGCCCCACAGCUGCCCGGGCAUUUGUGGCUCCGCUACUAGCAGAGCGCGAAGCCCUAAGCCCCAGCCAUCCGCCGAGCUCCCGUGGCAGCGCUGGGCAGAGUCCUCAGCUUGGUUUGGUCCAUCAUUUAGCUGGGCUGACGGCCGGGCAGGCUCCCCCCACUCCCUGGCUGAAGAUCUGGGAGCUGGUUUGGCAACAAACCCUGGAGGAGUCAAUUCCGCCUGGCGAUCGGUCUGUCUAGGUUCUGCAAACGCUGCUGGUCCGGGUGUAUCCGCGUUCUCACUUCCCUUACCGGAUCGGCACCGGUUCCCAUCCGCGUCCAGAGCCACAGGCCGGGCUGCUAGUAACAGAGUGGCAUUUCAACCUCGUGCCCUGAGUCUCUGCAGAGCUUAGUGAGCCCAUAGAAUGCAGCCCCGGAUCCAGGUGUUUGCCCUCUCUCCGCUGCCCUGUCCCACCUCCGCCUUUCCUCCAAUGUGCCGCAGAGAAUAGCAUCAGGGCUCGGGGAAAGUUUCCCAGGAGGGAGAGAGCCCAGACACCCAGCUCGUUCUGCCCUGGCUGCCCUUCGCCUCAUCUUCCUCUGUCCAGGAGCAAACUCUAACCUUGGUGGGCACCGCAGCCAGGCGCUUCUCUCCUCUUUCUUAAAAUCAUCCCCCCCGCCCACGUUUCCCCUCUGCCGCUCUGUCCCCAGCACACGAGGAGCCACGGGAAGAGUUUACCGAAUAUCUUUUCUUUUCUCUCUCUCAUACUCUUUUUUUUCCAGGGGCAGAGGCAUAGGAGAGCUGGAGCUGCCAAUGCGUUUUAUAGGUGACGUAGGGGCCUACGUGGGGAGCCUGUGCCCAAGUGCCACAUCUUAUAGGCCUUUUCUCCUGAAGUGACAUCUCCCUGCAGUUCACAGCCCCCUUUCUGCCUGAAAAAGCAAACCCCCUUUUCCUGCUCCGGAGACAAGCCCCAGAGCUCCAGAAGGGGAGACAGAGAGUGAGAGGAGGAAGCUGAGAUGAGAGGUGUGUGUGGAGGGGUGAGGAGACCCUCCCUUUUGGGGCUCAGGGCUAGCCGAGGCAGACAGGCGGCGAGGCGAGAGGCUGGAUAGCAGGUGGACUCUCCCAAGACAGAAGAACGCCCCAGCCAGCCUCCGCUCCUUAACCCACCCCGGGAGCUCUCCAGCGUUGGCUGCCCUGGAGAGCCGAGAAGGAGGAGGGCUGUUUCUGUCUUUGGUUAUCUAGCUGUAUGAGUGUUAUUAAGCCAUCAUAAAGCUAGAUAACCGAAAGUAGAAAUGACUUCCAACCCUGCCUGGAGCUGGGGAGCGAAUGGAGCAAGAGACACGCGGGGCCAGACGCACCCUGGAUCCUCGAGAAACCCAGCUCACCUCCGAGGAUUCCCCGGCUCCUUCCAGACUCAGACUUGACGGAAAGUUCAUGGAGUGGGAUGUCAUGGGAAGAGACAGGUCUUCUCUGUGGGGACAAGUGGAGAGCCUGUGUGACGUUCUGCAGCAAAGAUAAGAAACUUCCCAUUUGGCACAAGCAGCACAGGAAAGAAAGGUGGAAUGUCGCUCCUCCCCGGUUAACCUCCCCUUCCCAGCCCCUCUGGUGUUCUCCCUUCUCUCUGAGACCAUCAACGCAGCAUGGGUCCUUCAACAAGCAAGAGCUGAAGGAGGAGGACAAAAAAAAAAAAAAAAGGCAGAGCGAUGGAGAAGGGCAGCCCCUGUGAAGACAUACUCUGCCAUACCGGGCCAUUUUUUGCUGCAGUUUAUAGGCUGCUAGGUGCCAGGAAGCCAUUUUGAUGGAAUCAAGUGCUGUUUGUAAGAUGGCCGCAUUGGCAUGAGAUUCCUGUGACUGAACACUGGCAAGGCUUAGGCAACUUUAGUUUCCUUGUUAAACUUCAUUACAGAUGAAAAUGGCUGGGGCCUUUUUGCAUCACAUACUCCUUGAAAAUGGACUGGCCAGCUAGCUUCCAAAUGGCCCAGAGAAGCAGCAGCCUUAGACACUGGAUCUCGAGAGCUUUCAGGAUUGCAGGCGAAGAGGGUGAGGUGUGUGGAGCAAGAAGAAAAUUUUGAUUUUGUAUAAAGUGUAUAAUGCACCACUGGUGAAUGUCCUGUGGUCACCUUUGCUGCUCUGUAACCCCAGAAAUCACAGUCCUCCUUGCUCUCCUGAUAAAACUGACCCUCCUGUCCAGGCAGCGACCAGAAAGCAAAUGCCUCAACUGGGGACGGGGAGGGGGAAAUCUACUAUAUGUAUUUAUAAGCGGUGAAACCUGAGACAGCACCAACGGAGUCAAUGUGGAAAAGUUCAGUCUGAUUUAUUUUGCUUUGUUGCACUGACAAUGGAUCAGUUAAUGUCUGAGACAACUGAACCUUCUGGGUAUUUUGAAAAACUGUCUACAUGGGCUAGAUUCCUGGUCAUCAUAGAAGAACCCGUAAAUGUAGGACUGUAUUUUCACUCGGGUUUGAAGGCGCUUGCCUGCUUCCCAGCUUAUUUAAUCCCUCUUUUUCUUUGUUUUGGAACAGAUAUUGAUUUUUUUUUCACUGCAAACUUAUUCAUGGUGGCGGCCUAGCAGGUUGGUGAGAUCCCUAUGGAUGUAGUUGCGAUGUCUUUUAUUUUUGUAAAAGACACAUCCGCUCCCUUCACUUGUUUAAACAAAGCGAUGGUUAAAAUAAACAAUUCACUUGUCAAAAUGAUUCGUGUGUUUUCGUCUGGUAUAUGGAGAGGAAUAUAAUGCCCCAGUCCAAAUAAAUCCUGCCCCCGCAGUGCGAUGC